AGGGCGCACGGCGGAUGCCUUGGCGCUAGAGGCCGAUGAAGGACGCGGUUACCUGCGAAAAGCUCCGGGGAGUUGGUAGCAAAUGUCGAUCCGGAGAUCUCCGAAUGGGGGAACCCCAUCAGGAUCAACCCUGAUGACCCACACCUGAAUACAUAGGGUGUGAGGAGGGCACCGGGGGAACUGAAACAUCUCAGUACCCCGAGGAAAAGAAAGAAUUCCCUUAGUAGUGGCGAGCGAAACGGGAAGAGCUCAAACCCGACCCGCGUGAUAGCCGGCAGGCGUUGCGUGUUGGGUGUUGUGAGGCGUGGCGGUCGAUCUGCCGAUCGAUAACGGAGUCAGAAAAACGUCUGUCAGCGGAAGGUGCCUGGAAAGGCCAACCAAAGACGGUGACAGUCCAGUACGCGAAGGCUGACGUUCUCCGGCCGAUGUCCUCGAGUACCACCAGGAAGGUCUCCAUGGUGGGAAUCUGGGCAGACCACUGUCCAAAGCUAAAUACCUCUAGCGACCGAUAGUGAACUAGUACCGUGAGGGAAAGGUGAAAAGCACCCCGGGAGGGGAGUGAAAUAGAAACUGAAACCGUGUGCCUACAAGCAGUCGGAGCCUGUUGCUGCGCAAGCAGUAGGGUGACGGCGUGCCUAUUGAAGAAUGAUCCGGCGAGUUAGCUGUAUGCGGCGAGGUUAAGACCUGACGGUCGGAGCCGAAGCGAAAGCGAGUCUGAAUAGGGCGUGGAUCGCAAGAUCCGUAGUCGCAUGCACUAGACCCGAAACCGAGUGAGCUACCCAUGGCCAGGCUGAAGCGGAGGUAAAACUCCGUGGAGGGCCGAACUCAUUAGCAUUGAAAAGCUACGGGAUGAGCUGUGGGUAGAGGUGAAAUGCCAAACGAACUCGGAGAUAGCUGGUUCUCCCCGAAAUAGCUUUAGGGCUAGCGUCGUGUGUUCACUCACAGAGGUAGAGCACUGAAUGGGCUAGGGGGCUUAUCGCUUACCAAACCCAAUCAAACUCCGAAUGCUGUGAGUCCAAGCGCGGCAGUCAGUCUCCGGGGGCUAAGCUCCGGGGACAAAAGGGAAACAGCCCAGACCAACAGCUAAGGUCCCUCAAUCCAGGCUAAGUGGCAAAGGAUGUCGAAUCGCUCAGACAACCAGGAUGUUGGCUUAGAAGCAGCCAUCAUUGAAAGAGUGCGUAACAGCUCACUGGUCGAGUGAUUCGGCGCCGAAAAUCUAACGGGGCUCAAGCCUGGUACCGAAGCUUUGGAUCGACGGCCUCUUCGGAGGCCCGUGGGUGGUAGGGGAGCGUUCCAAGCGCAGUGAAGGUAGACCGUGAGGACUGCUGGAGCUCUUGGAAGUGAGAAUGCCGGAACGAGUAGCGAAAUGUGCGUGAGAAACGCACACACCGUAUGCCUAAGGUUUCCUGAGGAAGGUUAAUCCGCUCAGGGUCAGUCGGGCCUAAGUCGAGGCCGAAAGGCGUAGGCGAUGGACAUCCGGUUUAUAUUCCGGAACCGCUCGAGAUCGUUAUCAACGAAGGGGUGACCCAGUCUGCUAGUCCCAGCGCACUUUGGCUAUGUGCGUCUAACUUCAUAGCCGUUUCCCGAUAGGCAAAUCCGUCGGGGACUUAAGGUGAAAAAGGAAUGCGAGCUGCAGCAAUGUGGCAAGUGGGGCAAGGCAAGCUGGCGAGAAAAGCCUCUAGUGAGAUCAAGAGUGUCCGUACCGCAAACCGACGCAGGUAGGCGGGUAGAGAAUACCAAGGUGAUCGGGAGAACCCUCCUUAAGGAACUCUGCAAAAUGACCCCGUAACUUCGGGAGAAGGGGUGCCUUGCACGCCUCGCAUUUAUGUGAGGGAAGUGAUCAAGGUCUCAGAUAAACGGGCCGAGCGACUGUUUAACAAAAACACAGGUCUCUGCGAAGGGGAAACCCUACGUAUAGGGGCUGACACCUGCCCAGUGCCGGAAGGUUAAUGGGAGAGCUGAAAGGCUUGAACUGAAGCCCCGGUGAACGGCGGCCGUAACUAUGACAAUGACCGUUGUAGUUCCGAGAACAAAAUCUGGCUAUUUGCUGGAACACCCGUGGAUCCUGCGCUACCUCAUGGUCAAGGCUCUGCCGAGAUCAAGCGUGAGGUGACAAUGCGCCAGGUGCGGACAAUCAGCAGGAAAGACUUCAUCCUGAACGUGGAAGCAACAUCCGAUGCGACCGGCCACUACUUGACUGGUUUCGUGGAUGGCGAAGGCAGCUUCAAUAUCUCGUUCAGGCUUCGUCCGACCGUCCACCGAGCGUGGAAGGUUUCACUCUGCUUCAACGUGUCGCAACGCGAGCCGAGCGUGCUGAAAUUGCUUCAGCUAGCGCUCGGAUGCGGAACGAUGCGCCAGCGACAGGAUGGCGUCUGGUACUUCGAGGUGAAUUCCUUGGGUGCCAUUCGCGCCGCGGUGAUCCCGUUCUUCGAACGAUUCCCAUUCCUGUCCGAGAAGAAGCAGCGCGACUUCAGGAAAUUCUGUGAGCUCACUCUCCUCAUGGAGGGUGGUCACCACCUCACCCGCGAGGGUGUGGAGCAGAUCCUGGAGAUCCGGAAAGAGAUGAAUGACGGCGGAAAACGCCGGCACGGCGACGCCGAGAUCCUAUCAAUCUAUCGGCGCGAAGAAUCCUCAGAGACUGUACGCCGGACUUCGUCAGUUACACCGUUGACGAAGAUGAGACAGUCCGAACUGCAUGGCGACAUGCAGAGUGGGUAUCGAAUCCCACCGUCCGAUCUCUCUGAUCGGAUCGCAACAGAAUGAACGGUCCUAAGGUAGCGAAAUUCCUUGUCGGGUAAGUUCCGACCCGCACGAAAGGUGUAACGACUUGGCCGCUGUCUCAAGGAGGGACCCGGCGAAACUGAGAUACCCGUGAAGACGCGGGUUACGCACA
This 2893-nucleotide ribosomal RNA is filed under the name sediment metagenome. Its description in RNAcentral is "bacterial LSU rRNA". It matches the Rfam family "Bacterial large subunit ribosomal RNA", at positions 14 to 2074 of the family's 2925-position model. The record is from RNAcentral.